This 253-nucleotide ribosomal RNA is filed under the name uncultured Pedobacter sp. Its description in RNAcentral is "partial 16S ribosomal RNA". It matches the Rfam family "Bacterial small subunit ribosomal RNA", at positions 524 to 776 of the family's 1533-position model. The record is from RNAcentral. Lineage: Bacteria; Pseudomonadati; Bacteroidota; Sphingobacteriia; Sphingobacteriales; Sphingobacteriaceae.
UACGGAGGAUCCGAGCGUUAUCCGGAUUUAUUGGGUUUAAAGGGUGCGUAGGCGGCCUGUUAAGUCAGGGGUGAAAGACGGUGGCUCAACCAUCGCAGUGCCCUUGAUACUGAUGGGCUUGAUUACACUUGAGGUAGGCGGAAUGUGACAAGUAGCGGUGAAAUGCAUAGAUAUGUCACAGAACACCAAUUGCGAAGGCAGCUUACUAAGGUGUCAAUGACGCUGAGGCACGAAAGCGUGGGGAUCAAACAGG